UCACCGCCGCCGGGAGUGGUUCCGUCUCAGUUCCGUGUAGGCUUUUAUGGUUUUCUCUUGGGCUUCUCGACAUUUUUUCUUGUAGUGGCAUCAGAUCUGGGCUCAAGGUAAGAUUGUGACGUCUCUGAUGUUGGUCUCUGGUCGCCCUUGUCUGGAUGGGAGAAUCGAUGGGUGUUGGUCUCUUUGGCCUUGGUGUGGUGGUCCGAAUCAGUCUGGCAGAUUCUGGCACCGCUGUAGCUAGACGGUCAAGCGUUCUCUGGG
Molecule: long non-coding RNA, 261 nt
Filed under: Brassica napus (rape)
Lineage: Eukaryota; Viridiplantae; Streptophyta; Magnoliopsida; Brassicales; Brassicaceae
Description: long non-coding RNA (BNAP_LNC026046)
Source: RNAcentral